ACGAACGCUGGCGGCGUGCCUAAUACAUGCAAGUAGAACGCUGAGGAUUGGUGCUUGCACUAAUCCAAAGAGUUGCGAACGGGUGAGUAACGCGUAGGUAACCUACCUCAUAGCGGGGGAUAACUAUUGGAAACGAUAGCUAAUACCGCAUGACACUAGAGUACACAUGUACUUAAGUUAAAAGGAGCAAUUGCUUCACUAUGAGAUGGACCUGCGUUGUAUUAGCUAGUUGGUGAGGUAACGGCUCACCAAGGCGACGAUACAUAGCCGACCUGAGAGGGUGAUCGGCCACACUGGGACUGAGACACGGCCCAGACUCCUACGGGAGGCAGCAGUAGGGAAUCUUCGGCAAUGGACGGAAGUCUGACCGAGCAACGCCGCGUGAGUGAAGAAGGUUUUCGGAUCGUAAAGCUCUGUUGUUAGAGAAGAACGGUAAUGGGAGUGGAAAAUCCAUUACGUGACGGUAACUAACCAGAAAGGGACGGCUAACUACGUGC
This 497-nucleotide ribosomal RNA is filed under the name Streptococcus iniae. RNAcentral's name for it is "bacterial SSU rRNA". It matches the Rfam family "Bacterial small subunit ribosomal RNA", at positions 29 to 508 of the family's 1533-position model. The record is from RNAcentral. Lineage: Bacteria; Bacillati; Bacillota; Bacilli; Lactobacillales; Streptococcaceae.